GGACACGUCGGCCGGGGCCGAGCAACAGGCUGCCAUGCCAGGUCGGAGAAGCAGGGCGCGGCUGCGUGCGUGGGAGGCGCAAGCUCGAUGGAGCGAGGAUAGCAGCGCGCGACAACUUAGCUAGACAACGCGCGCAGGACAAUUCGGUCACGAAACUGCAUGGCAAGUUUGCCGAGGACGAAAAAAGAACGCGCUACGAAGGUUCAAUCCAACACAAAGAAAAGGAGGAGAACUCACCUGGUCGAAGGACUCGUCGGAGAAGAAGAGGCCGCGCCGAGACAGCCAAGCUGGGCGUCUGGGCGCUCGCCGGGGUGCUUUGGAUUUGGGCGCUGGGAUCGGCAACCACCAGGUGAUAGGUGUAGUGGCAGUUGCGAGCAUCAGGGAGAGAAGAUGGGAAAGGGAGAGAGAACGAUGGUGGUUUCCAGGCGCAGCCACAAGGCACGACGUGCGGUUUGCCAUGCCCACGCGCGUUGGGCCGGCCACGCGGGCAGCCCAAGAAGAGGGGGCGGCUUUCUAUUUCUCCCUUUCCUUUAAUCUAUUCUAUUCGAAUUUAGAUAUAUCUUUUGAAUCCAAGAUCCAAAUAUACUUUAUGAGUUUGAAUGGGUACACGACCACAAAAAAAACAACAUACAAAACAAUGUCUCGGCAAGCCAUGCAACAAUCAAGGACCCUUUUUGGAUUUUAUUUUACUACGCAAAAAAAAAUUUAUAUAAAUGUAUAUAACAAAAUAAUUCUCCAUUUUUAGGAAAAAGAGAAGGAAAGCGAAGAACUUACAGAGUAACACCUGAAUUUGGUGGAUAUUAGAAAAGAAAUUUUAUACCCCUAAAUUUAGGGUGUUACAAAUCUAACCCCCUUAACAGGAAUCUCGCCCUCGAGAUUCAAGAAGAAGCUAGCAAGAAAAUGAGAUUGGUUCAUCGGUUUUUCAUAGCUUCUUCAAUUCGACAUUGGCUCUGCCAGCUUAACAUACGGACUGAUUGAUUUGAUCUUCAGGCGUUCACGACCACGUAAGACGAUACUUGAGGAUCCUAUGACCUAUGGGUUAGGACUCACACAUGCUUUCGCUGCACCACUCUGAUCUUGUUGGUUGAUGUUGAUCGUAUUGUCUUCAUUGGGGUUAGCGGUUAACCCCCUUAACAUGGGCGUUGAUAUGCACUUGGUGAAGAUGUUGCCGACUCUGAUCUUGACUAAUUUGGAGGAGUUGGAGGUUGCCAAAUGGACAGGUGCAAGAGAAAAGAAUAGCGAGAAAAGGUAAGUAUAGACGGAUUAGAGAGAGCAGGGGGAGAACCCAACUACUUAACUCUAUAACACUCACCUAGUAAACGGAUGUCAUUGCGGACCCAGGACCACAACACAUCAACACUCAUCACAAAGAAGCAAAUCAGUCACCACACAAAGACAAACAACACAAGCAUACAACAACAAACGCCUCGUUGCAAUACGUUCCUUCUAAUUAAAUGGUGGUCUUUCCUUGCUAAGGGGAAACUACUCUAAGGCCAUCGAAAGGCAAGGGGAAUAAUAAAACAUGCAGGAUAGGGGCAUGAGCAUAAUAAAGCAUGAAACUGAAGCAAGGAUUGGAACCGACAGGGAGAGAAUGAAAUCAAGGUCAGGAUAGGUAAAACACCAUUCUGAAAUCGAGAUGGGAAAGAUGAUAAGUCAAAAGGUAGGCAUAAGAUAAGCAUCAUGGAAAUCUCUAGAUAUUACAAAGGCAACGGAGGUAAAAAGGCAAAAGCACACCAAAAGAUAGAGUUAGGACAAGACUUGCAAUGUGAUAGAGGAAAAGGUAAUAGACAAGAGCGGGGUGGGUAAGACAUCGCUCUUGAAAUGAAAUGGGGGAGGCAGCUUUAAAAUGUAGGUACAGGCUAAGCAUCAUGGUAAAGAUCAAGGGAUGACAAGGGUUAAGGUGAUAACAGGCAAACACAACCAAGGAUGUAUUUUAGACAAAACUUGUGAGGCAUCAAAGAAGGGGAAGCAAUCAAUGGUGAAGUAGGUGAGACAUUAUCCCCAAACAGCGAUGAAAAGGAGGAGGCUUUAAAGGGUAGGUUGAAAGUAGGCAUGUGGCAAGGGCAUAGGUAUCGCGAGGGUUUAAAGGUAAUAAUGGACAAGGAUGUAGAAGAUGAGGUAAAUGGGUAUAAGAACCAAGGAUAUAAAUACCCCAAAGGGUGGAGUUAAGACAGGAUGUGCAAGUAAAAAAAAUGAGGGUACGUUCAAGGGCCAGAUAGGUAAACUGCCACUCUCAAAUUGAGGUAGAAGAGAGGGAAUUUUUUAAAGAGUGGGAAUAAAGAUGAGUGUCCAAGAAAGAUCGACGGAUGACAAGGUGAUGGUGAUAGUGAAUAAAAACACAACAAAGGGUGGGAUUAAGUCAAAACUUGUAAGAUGACAAGGAGAGAAAAGAAAUCAAGGGAGAGAUAGGUAACUCACAGCUCUCAAACUGGGUUGAAAGAAAGGGGAGGCUUUUAGAGGAUAAGUUCAAGGUAAGCAUUUAAGUAGAAUACCUCAAUAUCGCAAGGUCAAAGGCGAUAACAAACAAGGGUAUGAGAGAAAAAAAAUGAAGGCAUGGGAGAGCCAGUGGUAUGAGUACAACAAAGAAUGGAUUUGCGCUCAGGCUUACCCGCGGUAAAGAAGAGGAUAUUGCCAAGGGUGGGGUAAGUAAAACAAUGCUCCUAAACUAGGAUAGGAUAUUGGAGAUUUUAUAGAACAUACAUAGUGUAAUUACCAAGGUAAGAUCGAGAGAUGAGAAAGGUAAAGGUAGUACCCAACCGAAGCACAACAAAGGAUGGAGUUAAAAACUAGCAAGCGACAAGGAAGAGGAUACGACCAAGGGAAAAAAUAGGUAAAGUAUAAUGCUAGUAUUGAGAUGAAAAGAGGAGAUUUUAAAAGGUCGGUAUAAGAUAAACAUUAAGGUAAGAUAUAGAGGUGAUAAGGGUAAGGGUGAUAAUUAUGAAAAGCAUAACCCUGGACAGAGUUAAGGCAAGACUCGCAAAGUGGCGAAGUGGAGAAAACAAUCAAGGAUCAGAUAAGUGAGGUUCCGACAGAAGAGUUGAAGUAAAAAAAAUCAUUAUCGAAGGAAGUUACAAGGAAUUAACGAGAUCACCAAGGAUGUGCAAAAUAAAAUGGCAGUUCAUGGAUCAUUAAUAAACAAGGGUGGUCAAGGGCAGGUUAACUGAAAUGUCUUAAAUAGACAUUGGGGUAUGAAGAUAAUCAUCCAUAAAAAAUAUGAGAAUAUGCAAGACUCCAAGGACAUGAGUACAACAAGACCAAGGAAAUGAAAAUUGCCAAAAGAUAACGACCUAACAACAGAAGAGGAAAGGGUCUCAAAAGAUACGAAGAUCAUGGAUAUAUAAACUGAAAUGUUUAAGUAUGCAGUAGAAAUUCUGAUGUAAGCAUUUGAAACAAGAGUAUUGAAGAAUAUAGGGAUACAAGCAUGUCAAUACCAAGGGAAUAGAGAUGGUCAAAUGGUAGCAAUUUAAUGAUGGAAGAGAAAUGAAUCCCAAAAGACAAGAAGGUUAUGGUCAGGGGCAUUUACAAAGAUGUCGCAAGCACAAGGUGAGAUCAGAUCUAAUAGAUUGAGAGAAGUAUAGACCAUACUAGAAUAAAAUACUUUUGGCAAGGAGGCAUAUAGGAGCACAACAUAGAAUUAGUCGAGGUGACUAAUAUUUUGAAGCAGAAUCAAGGAUGAGGUGAAGUAAUAGUCAAUAAGUCCUUAACACGGCCAAUGCUACUCUAGGCCAGCGGUCCUACAGUCAGCCUGGCUUUGAUACCACUUAUGUCACACCCGGUUUUGGAAGGUAAACCGAAUGCGAACCAUGUACGUGCCAGGAUCAGAAAUUCACGUACACAGCGAUUACAUAAAUGACUCAUCAUAGCACAAUGCUUUGAAUAACAAUAAAGAAUAAAUAAUGAUAUUAAAGACUAGAGUCAUUUACAUAAUAUGAAUCAAAGUACACAGAAUCGAAACGUAGCCAAUGUAAACAACCCACCACAGGCAGCUGACUGGGGGAGGUCACUAGCCUAAUCCUCGAACUCAUCAACGUCCUGGAACUCCUGAAGGUCCACCUCGACACCUUCUUCUUUACCUGAGCAUAGAUUGCACCAAAGGCAACCUGGUGUUUUGUGAAAGCAAGGGUGAGUACACAUCAACGUACUCAACAAAUGUCCCGUUUGGCUGAGAUGGACUAGCUUUAUGUGGGGUUAGGCUCAAGCAGUUGCUUUUAGUUGGUCAGGUAUUUAUUAUUAGUGAAGCCAGGUUUUAGCAAUAACUAACCCGUGAAUCAUUUCCUCAUCGAGGAACAUCAUUAUCAUCAUCGAACCAAAAUCAUAAAUAGAACCAUUGUAUCUCGAACCAUUCGUAUCUCUAAUCAAAGAGGAUCCCAAGGCUGCUCUUAACCGUGAGCACGGCUGAUAUAUCAGUUUCACUACCCUCUGCAGAGGUUGCACACUUUACCCAUGAGCCGUGAUUCCCUUUCUGCCCGAGGAUCGCGACUCCCCAUUGAUCACUUCCAAGGUGAACUAGUAGGGUCUCACUACGUGGCUUUUCUCUAGGGUCCUCACUAUGAGAAUGUUGGAAAUGACCAUUGCAUAAAGUCCAUCUGACGUCCCAAAACCUAUACCUCUGCCCUCAAGAAAAAGCCAUGGGACGAUGCCCGUACCCAGAUCCCUGAGCGAGAAUAUAGGAGCCAUAACAGAUGCCUCCGUUUCCCAAUGACCAAAAACCAGCACCCAACAUAAGACUUCCCUAAAUACUUGGCCAAGGGCAUCCCAUACCACCCUCAUGGUUGCACUGUUUUCCCGGGGUGUCGCUCCUCGAACAGGUCCUUACGGAGAGGCACUCAGGAAACAGUCUGAGUCCCCUAAAGUGUCACAGGACCACCAUCAGGAUAACAUCAUCGUAUCAUAAGUAAUCACAUCAUGUUCAUUGAUUAAAGUAAAGCAAUAGCAUGAAGCUAACCAUAAUAACCCAACAGGUAAUCAAGGACAAGGUAAAUACAAAGCUAGUCAAUCCUUAGGUUUCAAUUGAGUAAUGCAGAAUAGUGAUUUAUAAAGUAAAUAGGACAUAAUGGGUCAGAGGACACUUGCCUUCACCAAACAGAUGCUCAGGAUCUUCAAUCUCGUAGAGCUUGAGGAGCUUGAUCACUUGGUCACCAAAGCUUGACCUUCGAUCUCUCGAAGCUCGGAAACGGAUCACAAACUAUUUGCGACGCACAACGAAUACCAACAGGCACAAACAAACAAACAUAUGUAUAUGCAUAAGAACAUUACACCAUACAUGAUAAAUUGUUAUAAAAACAUGCAGCAUAAAAUAGAGCUCGAUUCUAUAGUCACGCGAGGGAAAGAAACGUCGAACUUGAAGUUACGGUUGAGAAGUUAGCGCGUUAACAUUAAACAAGUAUUAACAACAACUUUUAGUUCAACAUGAUCAAACAUAAAUAUUAUACAUCAGUUAGUUUCGAUUAAUCUGAUACGCUAACAAAUGUCUGUUAAUUAAAUAAUUUAAUUAAAAGGAUAGAUUCUAAGCGAGAUGAAUUUAUGACGUGUGAAACAGCACGACAGCGUGCAAACGACGUGCGGACACGCGCGACAUAGCACGCUGACGACACACGAAACUAUGCUCGUGGCACGCGUGGACGACGAGCGACUCAGCACGCGACCAAGACGAGUAGAAAUGGGUUUACGACGCAUUAUAUAUCAAAUAACUGACCAUUUGCGGCUAACAAACGACGCUACCAACGAAUACUACUAAAUUGUGAUUAAACGCACAAAAUUAUUUGCGUAAGAUAUUUUAGAUAAAUAGAAUUAUCGAUUAGUCAACGAUUAAACAAGAAUUAAUUAAUAAGCAUGAACGACUAUAGUGAAACGAUUAACUAAUGUGUGUGGAUCGUGCGCGCGACACACGACAAUGCUUGAAAACAGCGCGUGGCCGACGUGCUAUGACGUGCGCGAAUAGCACGCGCGCCAUGCACGAAGAAACGCGAAAAUCACAAAUAGAUGUCGCUUUUACAUGAAACAAAUAUUAGUUGAAAACAUUAAAGUUGGCAUUAAUCACAUUAAUUUGUAUUUAUAAAAGCGCAAAUUAAAAUUAUAGAUUAGUUUAAUUAUAUUGAUAUUUUAAUAAAUAUCAGAUGAACAAAUAAUUAACUAAUUAAUUAAAACUUGUGUACGAACAGAAUAAUGUUAUUAACAUGUUGUCAACGUUAUUACGAAGCUAACAUGACUCGAAUGAAUUAAAACGAAUAUUUAACGCAAAUAAUGACGCAUAUCCAAUUAGCCGGGGACUGAAAAACAUGUGGCGUGAUAUAAUUGGCUAAAGACUUGCCACAUGCAGGGCCACACCUAGGGACAUAGGGAACAUAGCCACAAAGGAUCUGACGUAAGGCUGAAACGUGGGCAGUUUUCUUUUCUCUCUCUCAUGUGCACGGAACUUUUCUUCUCUCGUAUCCAAUCGCAUGAAGUUCUUCUUCCUUCAUCCAUCUUUCUCCAUGGAAUCAGCAGCAAGGGGAGGGAGAAGGAGGGGACGUGGGCAUGGGAGGGGGAGCCGGUGCUCUAGGCUGGGGGCUGGCCAUGGCCAUAGCCGAGGUGAGGGCGCUGGGCACCUAGGCACGCUGCGGCUGGAGCCUGGCCGAGUGGCCGACCAUGGCGCCAAGGCUAGGGAGCCAGGGCCGGAUGCCUGAGCACGCGGGUGGGCCGCCGCGCUGGCGUGUCUACCGCGCAGGCCGGCUGCCGCGCCACGCCCUACGCAGGGGAGCAUGUAUGCGGAGGCCAGAGGAGCAGGUCGAGCGGCCUGCGGCACGGGGGGACACGUCGGCCGGGGCCGAGCAACAGGCUGCCAUGCCAGGUCGGAGAAGCAGGGCGCAGCUGCGUGCGUGGGAGGUGCAAGCUCGAUGGAGCGAGGAUAGCAGCGCGCGACAACUUAGCUAGACAACGCGCGCAGGAUAAUUCGAUCACGAAACUGCAUGGCAAGUUUGCCGAGGACGAAAAAAGAACGCGCUACGAAGGUUCAAUCCAACACAAAGAAAAGGAGGAGAACUCACCUGGUCGAAGGACUCGUCGGAGAAGAAGAGGCCGCGCCGAGACAGCCAAGCUGGGCAUCUGGGCGCUCGCCGGGGUGCUUUGGAUUUGGGCGCUGGGAUCGGCAACCACCAGGUGAUAGGGGUAGUGGCAGUUGCGAGCAUCAGGGAGAGAAGAUGGGAAAGGGAGAGAGAAC
This 7198-nucleotide long non-coding RNA is filed under the name Zea mays. RNAcentral's name for it is "long non-coding RNA (ZMAY_LNC003561)". The record is from RNAcentral. Lineage: Eukaryota; Viridiplantae; Streptophyta; Magnoliopsida; Poales; Poaceae.